Molecule: long non-coding RNA, 754 nt
Organism: Lycium barbarum (goji berry)
Lineage: Eukaryota; Viridiplantae; Streptophyta; Magnoliopsida; Solanales; Solanaceae
Exons: 3
Source: RefSeq, a predicted model, not a curated record
UCUUUUCUCUCUCCCUCUCCUCUCUCUACCAUCCCACCACCCCACCUCCUUAGACGGUCAACGCCGCAGCCACAGCCUUUUCCGACCAGCAGGCGUCGCCACCAGACGCCGCCACUGUUUCCGACCAGCUCAGGAGCUCCAGAGGGGUUAGGCAGUACCUCAAGAUGAGAUCUUCAAGAUUACUCACACGAGGAAGGAGAAGAACGCCGAUGGUACAGACCGAUGGGUUGAGCCAAGGGCUAAGCGAACUUGGAACGAAUUUCAACAACACUUUGGGGAGUUUCGAGCCACUCAGCAAAGUAGCACGCCGAUGACCGACGAGUUAAUACAACAUCAAUGUAUUGAGAAGGUUGCUCCCCCAACAAGGCAUGAGACAGUUUAUGGCAUGCCUAAUCGAGCCUUUCGUCGAUACCCGUCGGCCCUUGAAGCCGUAGGUGUUACUGAUGAUGGGGCAGUUGAUCCUAAGGAGUAUGAAGCUAUGAAGCAUCAAGUUGACCUGCAAACAAGAACACUUAAUUCCUCUGAGGCCAGGAUGUUGGGUAUGGAAGACCAGAUUAAUAGCUUACUUAAUUCGCGGCCAUUUCCGAUUCCCCCGUAUCCUGGGGAUGCUCGUAGGUCACAACCCCCUAGCCAACCCCGACCUUCCCAAGGUAGACGAGGUAGGUCACAAGCUGACAUAAAUCAUGAUCUUUUCAAUAAGUCUAGUGGGGAGGAUACGGAUCAUGUCUCUAACACCGAACGUUGACCUUUUUGA